GUUAUGGACAACUUUUGUAAAAGGGGUUAGCAUGAAAACACCUAAAAGAACUAUAUUGCAUAAGUUGUAAAAUAGAUGUUAAGUAUGUGAAAUAGUGGGAAUUUGGAGUUUCUAUGAGAGUCAAAUGGUAAAAAUCGAUAAAAAUUGAUUUUCAGGCCUAGUGGUAAAAUGGUCAUUUUGUCGAAGUCUAGGGGCAAAAUGAUCAUUUUACCAAAGAUGUGGUUUUUCGAUUGCU
This 235-nucleotide long non-coding RNA is filed under the name Gossypium barbadense (sea-island cotton). Its description in RNAcentral is "long non-coding RNA (GBAR_LNC012400)". Lineage: Eukaryota; Viridiplantae; Streptophyta; Magnoliopsida; Malvales; Malvaceae. The record is from RNAcentral.